GGAGAGGUGUCCGAGUGGCUUAAGGUGACGGUCUCGAAAACCGUUGUACGGUAUUAGCCGUACCGUGGGUUCAAAUCCCACCCUCUCCGCCA
This 92-nucleotide transfer RNA is filed under the name Tepidibacillus decaturensis. RNAcentral's name for it is "tRNA-Ser". It matches the Rfam family "tRNA". From Rfam's summary of the family: Transfer RNA (tRNA) molecules are approximately 80 nucleotides in length. Their secondary structure includes four short double-helical elements and three loops (D, anti-codon, and T loops). Further hydrogen bonds mediate the characteristic L-shaped molecular structure. tRNAs have two regions of fundamental functional importance: the anti-codon, which is responsible for specific mRNA codon recognition, and the 3' end, to which the tRNAs corresponding amino acid is attached (by aminoacyl-tRNA synthetases). tRNAs cope with the degeneracy of the genetic code in two manners: having more than one tRNA (with a specific anti-codon) for a particular amino acid; and 'wobble' base-pairing, i.e. permitting non-standard base-pairing at the 3rd anti-codon position. Lineage: Bacteria; Bacillati; Bacillota; Bacilli; Caryophanales; Bacillaceae. The record is from RNAcentral. RNAcentral also lists the same sequence under 2 other names.